RNAcentral lists this ribosomal RNA (326 nucleotides) under uncultured bacterium. RNAcentral describes it as "bacterial SSU rRNA". It matches the Rfam family "Bacterial small subunit ribosomal RNA", at positions 28 to 353 of the family's 1533-position model. The record is from RNAcentral.
GAUGAACGCUAGCGGCAGGCCUAAUACAUGCAAGUCGAGCGGUAAAGGCCCUUUCGGGGGUACACGAGCGGCGAACGGGUGAGUAACACGUGGGUGACCUGCCCUCAGCUCUGGGAUAAGCCUGGGAAACCGGGUCUAAUACCGGAUAUGACUCCAUGACGCAUGUUGGUGGGGUGGAAAGCCUUGUGCGGCUGAGGAUGGGCCCGCGGCCUAUCAGCUUGUUGGUGGGGUGANGGCCUACCAAGGUGACGACGGGUAGCCGGCCUGAGAGGGCGACCGGCCACACUGGGACUGAGACACGGCCCAGACUCCUACGGGAGGCAGCA